AUGCUNGAUUCAGUGGCACAUACGCUAAAAAUGGAACAAUAUAGAAGAUUAGCAUGGCCUCUGAGAAAAAAUAACAUGUAAAUUAGUGUGAAGCAUUCCAAAUUUUU
This 107-nucleotide small nuclear RNA is filed under the name Neotoma lepida (desert woodrat). The record is from RNAcentral. Lineage: Eukaryota; Metazoa; Chordata; Mammalia; Rodentia; Cricetidae.